Molecule: microRNA precursor, 205 nt
Filed under: Oryza rufipogon (brownbeard rice)
Lineage: Eukaryota; Viridiplantae; Streptophyta; Magnoliopsida; Poales; Poaceae
Description: MIR812 microRNA precursor family
Rfam family: MIR812 microRNA precursor family
Source: Rfam by way of RNAcentral
AAAAAGGCAAACCCUGGAUUUCCGUGCCAACGUUUGACUGUCCGUCUUAUAUGAAUUUUUUUAAUAAUUAGUAUUUUCAUUGUUGUUAGAUGAUAAAACAUGAUAAUAUUUUAUGCGUGACUUAUCUUUUUAAUUUUUUUCAUAAUUUUUUUAAAUAAGACGGACGGUCAAACAUUGGACACGGAAACCAGAGUUUGUCUUUUUG